UUCCUCCCUCCCUCCCUCCCUCCCUCCCUCUUUCUUUCUUUCUUUCUUUCUUUCUUUCUUUCUUUCUUUCUUUCUUUCUUUCUUUUUUGGUUUUUCGAGACAGGGUUUCUCUGUGUAGCCCUGGCUGUCUUGGAACUCACUUUGUAGACCAGGCUGGCCUCGAACUCAGAAAUCCCCCUGCCUCUGCCUCCCAAAUGCUGGGAUUAAAGGCGUGUGCCACCACUGCCCGGCUACUACUUUCUAUAUAGACCAAGCUAGCCUUGGAGUCAUAGAAAUUCACCUGCCUCUGCCUACGCACCUGCAUGGGCCACCAUGUCCACCAGUGUUUUAUUCUAAAAGCUCUCUGAACUUCCUGUUGUGUAUCGGUCAAAAGCCUUUGUAUAUUUCCUGUAAAGAUUAGAGUCCAUGCAUGCACAGUGCUGAGCAUGAUGGGUAGGGUAGAACAGAUUCUGGAUACAGAGUUGCACAAGGGGAUUAUAGAUGAGUGAGUUUUGCUUUUAUUUCAUCUGCUAGUUUCAUGCUACUCCACUAACACCCAACUUUGCUUUGGGAAGAGGAUGCUGUGUGAUAGCCAUUUAGAAUGUUCCAGACAAAAGUCCUAAAGAUAUAAUGAGGUAUUUGGUUCCAGUCAUUACUCCAGAUCAGGAAGGGAUCUGGGAAAACCACUUGCUGAUGACUGAGCAGGGGAAAAGCAGGAUUAGACCGUGGCAUGCAAGCUGUGACACCCUCCCUCACUCCCACCUCCCCAUGAUUUUCUCAGCCUUCGUCCUCAUUUUUUGUUUCUGCAUGCUCUGUCAUGUCUUUUCAACUGUCUUAAGUGGUUAGAGUUCACGGGUCUCAGGUUGGUAUUCACUGGGCCAUUUACACCUUUGGGUUUCAGAACCUUCUCUGAAAAUGCCCUAAUUACAGUUGUUAAUUUUAAAAGGUCAUUUUUUUCCUUCCUGUUUCCUCCUGUGAAAAUGAACUCUGGAACUCUUUUUAAAAGCUGGGCAAGUGGAAACACGUGACCUGGUUUUUGAUUUCUGUAUGACUUGAGAUUCAGCUAUCAAAGGCAAUUUAGUCCUUGGUGUGGAAGUUUUCUGGGAAAGUGCAGUUACUGGGAUGAAAACGGAGUUUCUGAAAUAUUUUAGAAGGUUUAAGCAGAUUAGUGAGCUUCCAGCUGUUAGCCACUGCAGCCUGGGAGGAAUAAUUAGUGUUCAUUUCUGAUGGGGAAGUUAAGGCUGGUGGCACACAGUGACCAUGAUUAUCCAUGC
This 1253-nucleotide long non-coding RNA is filed under the name Mus musculus (house mouse). RNAcentral describes it as "long non-coding RNA chr3:116869581-116870834". The record is from RNAcentral. Lineage: Eukaryota; Metazoa; Chordata; Mammalia; Rodentia; Muridae.